GCCAGUAUGGCAUAGUGGUUUGAGUGUUGGACUAUGACUCUGGAGACUAGGGUAUGAAUCCCUGCUUAGCCA
Molecule: non-coding RNA, 72 nt
Organism: Phrynosoma platyrhinos (Desert horned lizard)
Lineage: Eukaryota; Metazoa; Chordata; Lepidosauria; Squamata; Phrynosomatidae
Source: the annotation of a GenBank genome assembly